AAAACAGGCUUGGGAAAGGCGAAGCCAGCAAAGUCGAAGACACCAGAGUGGUACUGGUUUUGUGAGGGCACCCACGCUUGACCUCAGGCUACGAUCAGCGAGCGACAGAGAGCAACGUCGCACUGCAUUCUUACCAAACACCCAGAUGACGAAAUAACAGAAGAGUUAUGAGGAGUGCUGAAGCCAAAUCCUCAAGAAAUGGCAGAAUUAAGAUCUGAACUAAAGCCUGAAAUCAUGUGCUGGCACGUGGUGGGUGCUCAGUAAAUAUCUGCUGAAAAAGCAAA
This is a long non-coding RNA of Symphalangus syndactylus (siamang), 284 nucleotides long. RefSeq lists it as uncharacterized. The record is from RefSeq and is a predicted model, not a curated record. NCBI's taxonomy places the organism in Eukaryota, Metazoa, Chordata, Mammalia, Primates, Hylobatidae.